AUGUUUUGGGGAACCAAAUUUUACGUCGUGUUCUCAAAGGUUUUGAUCGUUGAUUUGAUAAAAGAUCUGGCCGAUUCACCGGAUUCUACCUCCUCGAUUCUCGAAGAGACGCCUCAAGACAAGAAAGAGAUUUUAGAAAAGCAUAAAAUUGUUCCGAAAGUGUUGGCAUAUAUGCCGAAGUAUGUUCUCUCUGGUAGCUUUGAAGGCAAAGAGAUGUCUUUCGGAAACAGCUUCACUCCAGAUGAAAUCAGGAAGCCUCCAAUUUUUUUUAGACUGGCCAAUCAACGGAACAAAAGCGCUUUAUUGUUUGCUUGCGAUAGGUAUGGAUGUUCCAAACAAGAAAAAACCAAAGUUGCGGGAUUUUAGGCAUUGGUUUGUCGGUAACAUUCCCGGAACUGACAUAUCAAAAGGACGAACGUACCUCCCAUAUAUUGGUGCCGGCGAUUUUUAGACCAAGGUAAGCAUCUGAAACUUUAGUGAAGCAUAAAUAAUAAACUAAAAAACUGUAGAAAUACUAAAACUCAAGUCUAAAUGACGAUUAUAUUUAAUUCCUACGAACACGUCAGGGACGCAUCAUCGCAUCAUAUUUCCGUUCUAUCAUCAGAUCUAGGCACGAUUCUGAAAUUAUAUCGACGGUAUAAGUCGGCAAUCACAUAACUCAGUUUGCGACGUUGCAGACUUCCUAUCAUACUUUAUUUUUUGAACGGAAAACUGCUCAAUGGCAAUUCUUUAAAACUGCCGUGAUUUUUCUUCUCUGUGUGAAGAAAUUCUGCAAAAACUUAAAGGAAUGAUGUAAAUUUGUUCUACUUCAAAAAAAUAACACAGAGGCGGAGAUUUUCAGACACCGUAAACGAGAUAUAUGAUUGCGGACUUACGCCAUCGACAUGUAUCAUAAGAAAUAACAAACACGACCAACUGCAUACAAGGAGCUUGGAGGACAAGGCGCAUGAAUGCAACUCAUUAUAUUUCAAGAAAUUAGUGUUUGAAUGUUUCAAUAUUACACGGAGUCUUGCGGCAUUCAAACUCAACAAAGUUCAAACUCACUUUUUGAUACUUAAAAAUCGGAUUUUAAUCGUUUAUUUCACCGUUAAAUUGUUUACGUAAUUCAAAGAUUAGUUUUAGUCGAAAUAAUUAAUAUCUCAAUUUUCUCAAAACUCUAAGCACCUUUUAUCAUUACUUCAAAUACUCAGCAGUCGGUAGAUAAGUGGUUUAGGAAAAAAGUAUAUUUGUCCUCUUCUAAGGAGAUGAAUCGGCUGAACACUGUUUGUCAAUUAUGGUGUCUUUGGUAGGUAUUGAGUGUUAGCUCAAAUUACUAAUGUUAGCGAGCCAUGCUAAAUUUUAAUGUAUGUUAUUAGUUUAAUCAUUUAACUAUGAUAAUACCUGUCCUACAAUUUUGCAGGUUCACAUCGGAUUGUAUUUGUAGUGUUCCAACAACCUGGUAGUAGAAGAAUCAAAUUUUACGAAAGAAAACUCACAAAAAUGUAAGAUAUUUUGUUUUUUGAAAGUUGAAUGUUAAUCACGGACGUGAUGUACUUACGAAAAACUAAACCAGUCACGGUCGUUUUCGCUUACGUAAAAUGAAUUUCAGAACCUAUAGGACACGUACAUUUGUCGGUCUGAGCAAUAAUUGUGGUUUAACAUUUAGAGCUAGAAAUUAAGAGUAGAAAACAUACCGAGCACACCCAAAAUUAACGGAUGUAACUGACCAUUUAAAACUAUGAUUGAUCACAUCUAUACCAUUGUGGGAGUACAUUCCAUUGUUAAAAUUCUGUACUGCACUAUUCUGAUCUCUCCUCUAAGGUGUUAACGUAUCUACCAACCAACCAACCAGGGUUUCAUUCAUGCUGAACGUAACGUAACUAUUACAAAGUGUGCAUCAGUGAUAAAUGAAGCAUAUCGACGGCGUAAGUUCGCAAUCACAUAUCUCGUUUGCGGUGUCUGAAAUUCUCCGCUUCUAUGUUAUUAUUUUAAAGACGAACAAAUUGGCAUCAUUCCUUGAAGUUUUUGCAGACUUUUCUUUUCACAGAGAAGAGAAAUCACGGCAGUUUUAAAGAAAUGCCGUUGAAUAGUUUUCCGUUUAAGAAAUAAAGUAUGACAGAAAGUCUGCGACGUGAGUCGCAAACCGAGUUAUGUGAUUGCCGACUUACACCGUCGAUAUGUAAAGGAAAGUAAGGUAUGCAAUCAGCCAUCACUGUUGUGGAUUAUGUAAACUAUUAUAUUGACAAAGGGUGACCCCUCAUUCAUAUAAAACUUGGAUUUUUACAAAUACUAUACUUCUCUGUUAAUUUUCAGGAUUUAACUAACAAAUCAAAAUCAAAAGAACGCACCCUGACUUAUUUCCUGGGUGAAUUUGCUCUUUUUUGUCAAGAUCCGAGUAAUUACUUCCAUCCACCAGAAUAUGAGGGACAAAAAAUAUGGUCAUUUGCUUCUAAUUAUACCUUCAUAUUAUCAAACAAGAAAUAGAUCGCGAGCUUUUACACGUGACUACAAAAUAAGCGGAGAAGUUUUUAAAAAGUCACUUUCCUUGUUUUCCUCGUGUUUCAUGUAACAAUUUUAAUUUUCAGGGUGCCAAUAAAUAGGGCAAGAGGGAACUCGUCGACACUAAAGUUUGCCGAAAAAUAUAGCUUGAGGGAGCCGGUGGCAGCUAACUUCCUCACAGUUGAGACGGAUGUGCCUCAGUCAACGACGGACUACUACGCUCAUACGACGAUUGAAGUGCCCCCAGACUGGGAGGGCAUCAGCAUGAACCCGCAAAUGGUGGGCCUCACCAUCCCCUCCAUCCCAAGUGACGAGGAGUUCGAGAAGGAACUGAAGCUGAGCAGGAGUGAAAGACGAAGAGGGAAGAAGUCGAAGAAGAAGGCGGAGGAGAAGAAAAAUCAGGACCUUACGCUGAUUAUUAUGAAGAUGAUGAUGAUGAUGAAGAUGAUGAGGGAGAUGAAGAUCAAGUUAAGAAAGAGGACGAUGAGAGUGACAAAGAAAAAGACAAUAAAAAAAGUGAACAUGAAAUAAGACGGAGGAUAAAAUGGAAAAGGAAAAUGAAAAUAAAGAUAAAAAGAAAAAGAAAAUGAAGAUGAAAAGAAAAAGGAAAAUGAAAGUAAAGAUAAAAAGAAAAAGGAAAAUGAAGUUGAAAGGAUAAAGGAAAAUAAAGAUAAAAGGAUGAAGGAAAAUAAAGAUAAAAGGAAAAGAAAAAAUAAAGAUAAAAAGAAACAGGAAAAGAUAAAGAAAAAGAAAAAUGAAAUAAAGAUGAAAUUUGAAAAAUUCUCAUCUGAUGGAUUUUAUUCUAACCCCGCAUUAUCAACGAUUGCCGUGAGAAACGUCUGUUCAUUAUGACGUUUUACAAAAAUGAGACCGUUUUCUUUCUCAAUAUUUAAUGGAGAUCCACAAAAAGUUUCUGGUCCAGAAGGUCGCUCAUAUAUUGAGCAUUCCAUACGUACCUAUUCAUCGGUAGGUACGCUUUUGCGUCCGUCUUAUGUAGAACUAGCACUGAACCCGCACCACGCGUGGGACCGGGACCAAUGGUAGCAAAUGCAUCCAAUGUAUCGAACCACAGGAAAGCACAUACUGUAGUCGCGUCCAUUUAUUUUUACACGAAAUUAAUAUACUUCCUAGUUCUCGACGUGUUUUCAAAUGGAAGCAGACAAAAUUUUUCCAAAACAUUUAUUAAUCACAAGCCAUGGAUGCCUCGGCUUUUUCCAUUGUAUGUUUUUUCAUGAGAUCGAUACUCUCUCCCUUAUCUUUAGGACCCCACUUUUUAAUGGAUCUUCGUGUUUUCAAAAGACUGACUCUCUUCGUUAGAUCGCAAACAGUAAGUUAUGCAUUUUCUGCAUUGUAACCCCCUCCCUUUCCCUCAAUCUGGAGAAUUUAUAUUCGAUAACUCCCAUUGAAUGUUCACACGUACAUUCAGUGGAUUUCAUCCCAUUCAUUCGCAUUCUCUUACUGCGUUCAAUAUGCUCCUCCUGCCCUCAGAUAAAAAACUCCGCCUGAUUUCUUGAUGUCACCCCAUUCUAACACCUUGUUUUUCCUGUGCGUAUUUUUUUAGAUUAAUGCUUUCCCUUGUGUCCACGGGUAUAUCUCCGUAAAUGAUUUUUUCUUAAUUUUAUCCUAUCUUUUUGGGCGCUUCUGGGACAAUACAUUGACGGCAAGGCGAGAGCAAGAGGGGCCACUGCUCCACUUCCCGUUCUGGGUACCAGAUGCGCCCUUUCCAGCCAUUCGGGUCUUCGGAUUUAACAUGUAAUAGAGUACAUAACUUUUUGCCUUUUGGGUAAUGACGCCAGUCUGGUACACGCGGUAAAAUUUGGAUUUUGUUCUUCUCUGGUAUUUCUAAACAUUUCGUAAAAUGUUUUGCUUUUAACAUACGAUCCGCGAACGGACGUAUUAACUGGUUAAAUUAUUUUAGGGCCUUGUUAUGCUUAAAUGCUCAUAUCCAAGGCAGCACCAAAGACAUAAAGACGGAGUGCUAUAAAAGCAAAACAAGCAGUUCCAACGUCAAGGCGUUGGAGGGCGCUUCUUUAACACUGCGAGGAACGUUUUCAUACGGCCAAGCGAGAGUAUUGCGGACGGUCGAUGUAUAACAAAUUGCCUACGUGGAGGUGGUCCAGCAGCAACAUACCCACCGCUAGUCUCUGAAAAACAAUAGAAAAUAGUAGUUGCGUACGUUGCCAGCGAGCGCAUCUGUUUCAAUUACUUAGCAUCGAGUCGGGCCUCUAACUUUCUAUUCUCUCGCUGACAUAACCUUAAACCUUCAACCCAGAGUCGCAAACAGCUGACGCUUGACGAUGCUGCGCCGAGAAAAUGAACCAAUCACAAAAUAGCACAGUAAUACGUCACUAAAAUGAAGAGAUCACGUGACUGUUCGUGAUUUUUUCGAAUCAAUCUGAAACUACAACCUCGAAUAUGAGUCAUUUAAGC
This 4908-nucleotide long non-coding RNA is filed under the name Bemisia tabaci. RNAcentral's name for it is "lncRNA ENSSWEETPG000108". The record is from RNAcentral. Lineage: Eukaryota; Metazoa; Arthropoda; Insecta; Hemiptera; Aleyrodidae.